RNAcentral lists this ribosomal RNA (482 nucleotides) under uncultured bacterium. RNAcentral's name for it is "partial 16S ribosomal RNA". It matches the Rfam family "Bacterial small subunit ribosomal RNA", at positions 30 to 507 of the family's 1533-position model. The record is from RNAcentral.
AUUGAACGCUGGCGGCAUGCCUUACACAUGCAAGUCGAACGGUAACAGGUCUUCGGAUGCUGACGAGUGGCGAACGGGUGUGUAAUACAUCGGAACGUGCCCGAUCGUGGGGGAUAACGAGGCGAAAGCUUUGCUAAUACCGCAUACGAUCUACGGAUGAAAGCGGGGGAUCUUCGGACCUCGCGCGGACGGAGCGGCCGAUGGCAGAUUAGGUAGUUGGUGGGAUAAAAGCUUACCAAGCCGACGAUCUGUAGCUGGUCUGAGAGGAUGGUCAGCCACACUGGGACUGAGACACGGCCCAGACUCCUACGGGAGGCAGCAGUGGGGAAUUUUGGACAAUGGGCGAAAGCCUGAUCCAGCCAUGCCGCGUGCAGGAUGAAGGCCUUUGGGUUGUAAACUGCUUUUGUACGGAACGAAAAGCCUCUUUCUAAUAAAGAGGGGUCAUGACGGUACCGUAAGAAUAAGCACCGGCUAACUACGUG